Molecule: ribosomal RNA, 944 nt
Filed under: Flavocillium subprimulinum
Lineage: Eukaryota; Fungi; Ascomycota; Sordariomycetes; Hypocreales; Cordycipitaceae
Description: SSU rRNA
Rfam family: Eukaryotic small subunit ribosomal RNA
Source: RNAcentral
AGUUAUCGUUUAUUUGAUAGUACCUUACUACUUGGAUAACCGUGGUAAUUCUAGAGCUAAUMCAUGCUAAAAAUCCCGACUUCGGAAGGGAUGUAUUUUUAGAUUAAAAACCAAUGCCCUCUGGGCUCCUUGGUGAUUCAUAAUAACUUUUCGAAUCGCAUGGCCUUGCGCCGGCGAUGGUUCAUUCAAAUUUCUUCCCUAUCAACUUUCGAUGUUUGGGUAUUGGCCAAACAUGGUCGCAACGGGUAACGGAGGGUUAGGGCUCGACCCCGGAGAAGGAGCCUGAGAAACGGCUACUACAUCCAAGGAAGGCAGCAGGCGCGCAAAUUACCCAAUCCCGAUUCGGGGAGGUAGUGACAAUAAAUACUGAUACAGGGCUCUUUUGGGUCUUGUAAUUGGAAUGAGUACAAUUUAAAUCUCUUAACGAGGAACAAUUGGAGGGCAAGUCUGGUGCCAGCAGCCGCGGUAAUUCCAGCUCCAAUAGCGUAUAUUAAAGUUGUUGUGGUUAAAAAGCUCGUAGUUGAACCUUGGGCCUGGCUGGCCGGUCCGCCUCACCGCGUGUACUGGUCCGGCCGGGCCUUUCCCUCUGUGGAACCUCAUGCCCUUCACUGGGUGUGGCGGGGAAACAGGACUUUUACUUUGAAAAAAUUAGAGUGCUCCAGGCAGGCCUAUGCUCGAAUACAUUAGCAUGGAAUAAUAAAAUAGGACGUGUGGUUCUAUUUUGUUGGUUUCUAGGACCGCCGUAAUGAUUAAUAGGGACAGUCGGGGGCAUCAGUAUUCAAUUGUCAGAGGUGAAAUUCUUGGAUUUAUUGAAGACUAACUACUGCGAAAGCAUUUGCCAAGGAUGUUUUCAUUAAUCAGGAACGAAAGUUAGGGGAUCGAAGACGAUCAGAUACCGUCGUAGUCUUAACCAUAAACUAUGCCGACUAGGGAUCGGACGAUGU